UAUCUCUGUAGAGUCUGCAUAUCAAUAAGUGGAGGAAAAGAAACUAACAAGGAUUCCCUUAGUAACGGCGAGUGAAGCGGGAAGAGCUCAAAUUUGAAAUCUUCAAGGUUCUACCUUGACGAAUUGUAGUUUAAAGAAGUGUUUUCUGUUAGAUGAGUAGCAAAAGUUCCUUGGAAUGGGACAUCAUAGAGGGUGAGAAUCCCGUAUUUGGUUAUUCAUUCUAGCUCUGUGAUACACUUUCAAAGAGUCGGAUUGUUUGGGAAUGCAGUCCAAAAUGGGUGGUAAAUUUCAUCUAAAGCUAAAUAUUGGCGAGAGACCGAUAGCGAACAAGUACCGUGAGGGAAAGAUGAAAAGAACUUUGAAAAGAGAGUUAAACAGUACGUGAAAUUGUCAAAAGGGAAGCGUUUGACACCAGUGUUGUUUUCUCGAAAAUCAAUUAAGAAAGUUGGAUUUGUAUGUGUGUAUGACCUUAUCAGCUUAUUGUACUCUUUUCGAGUCUUUUUUAAGUGCACUUUUCGGUUAACAAGUCAACAUCAAUUUCUUUUGUUGUAAAAGAGUCAUUGGAAGGUGGCUUUCCUUUCGGAUGAAAGUGUUUAUAGCCCUAUACUUCUACAAUCGGAGAGAUUGAGGUCUGCAGCGUAGAUCCUUCGGGGUUAGAUACACUUGUGCUAAGUUGUAGCUUUUCAUAGACAACUUGUUGACUAUGUUUAGUCAUGCGGCUUACUCGCUUGUGCUAUUUUACCUACGCUUAGGAUGUUGAAGAUGUAGCACAUCA
Molecule: ribosomal RNA, 775 nt
Filed under: uncultured Neocallimastigales
Lineage: Eukaryota; Fungi; Neocallimastigomycota; Neocallimastigomycetes; Neocallimastigales
Description: partial large subunit ribosomal RNA
Rfam family: Eukaryotic large subunit ribosomal RNA
Source: RNAcentral